Molecule: ribosomal RNA, 481 nt
Filed under: uncultured bacterium
Lineage: Bacteria
Description: partial 16S ribosomal RNA
Rfam family: Bacterial small subunit ribosomal RNA
Source: RNAcentral
AUUGAACGCUGGCGGCAUGCUUUACACAUGCGAGUCGAACGGUAACAGGCCGCAAGGUGCUGACGAGUGGCGAACGGGUGAGUAAUGCAUCGGAACGUGCCCAGUCGUGGGGGAUAACUACUCGAAAGAGUAGCUAAUACCGCAUACGAUCUAUGGAUGAAAGCGGGGGACCGUAAGGCCUCGCGCGAUUGGAGCGGCCGAUGUCAGAUUAGGUAGUUGGUGGGGUAAAGGCUCACCAAGCCAACGAUCUGUAGCUGGUCUGAGAGGACGACCAGCCACACUGGGACUGAGACACGGCCCAGACUCCUACGGGAGGCAGCAGUGGGGAAUUUUGGACAAUGGGCGCAAGCCUGAUCCAGCAAUGCCGCGUGCAGGAAGAAGGCCUUCGGGUUGUAAACUGCUUUUGUACGGAACGAAACGGCUCUGGUUAAGACCCGGGGCUAAUGACGGUACCGUAAGAAUAAGCACCGGCUAACUACGU